UACGUAGGGUGCGAGCGUUAAUCGGAAUUACUGGGCGUAAAGCGUGCGCAGGCGGCGCCAUAAGACAGAUGUGAAAUCCCCGGGCUUAACCUGGGAACCGCGUUUGUGACUGUGGUGCUUGAGUGCGGCAGAGGGGGGUGGAAUUCCACGUGUAGCAGUGAAAUGCGUAGAGAUAUGGAGGAACACCGAUGGCGAAGGCAGCCCCCUGGGUCGACACUGACGCUCAUGCACGAAAGCGUGGGGAGCAAAC
Molecule: ribosomal RNA, 250 nt
Filed under: uncultured archaeon
Lineage: Archaea
Description: partial 16S ribosomal RNA
Rfam family: Bacterial small subunit ribosomal RNA
Source: RNAcentral